RNAcentral lists this ribosomal RNA (439 nucleotides) under uncultured bacterium. Its description in RNAcentral is "partial 16S ribosomal RNA". It matches the Rfam family "Bacterial small subunit ribosomal RNA", at positions 339 to 795 of the family's 1533-position model. The record is from RNAcentral.
CUACGGGCGGCUCCAGUGGGGAAUAUUGCACAAUGGAGGAAACUCUGAUGCAGCAACGCCGCGUGGAGGAUGACGCAUUUCGGUGUGUAAACUCCUUUUAUAUGUCAAGAAAAUGACGGUAGCAUAUGAAUAAGCACCGGCUAACUCCGUGCCAGCAGCCGCGGUAAUACGGAGGGUGCAAGCGUUACUCGGAAUCACUGGGCGUAAAGGACGCGUAGGCGGGUUGGAACGUCAGGUGUGAAAUCCUACAGCUUAACUGUAGAACUGCACUUGAAACUUCUAAUCUAGAGUAUGGGAGGGGGAGAUGGAAUUAGUGGUGUAGGGGUAAAAUCCGUAGAUAUCACUAGGAAUACCUAAAGCGAAGGCGAUCUCCUGGAACAUUACUGACGCUAAGGCGUGAAAGCGUGGGGAGCAAACAGGAUUAGAUACCCCGGUAGUC